This 252-nucleotide ribosomal RNA is filed under the name Clostridium botulinum. RNAcentral describes it as "partial 16S ribosomal RNA". It matches the Rfam family "Bacterial small subunit ribosomal RNA", at positions 1121 to 1375 of the family's 1533-position model. The record is from RNAcentral. Lineage: Bacteria; Bacillati; Bacillota; Clostridia; Eubacteriales; Clostridiaceae.
CCAUUAAGUUGAGCACUCUAAUGAGACUGCCUGGGUAACCAGGAGGAAGGUGGGGAUGACGUCAAAUCAUCAUGCCCCUUAUGUCCAGGGCUACACACGUGCUACAAUGGUAGGUACAAUAAGAUGCAAGACCGUGAGGUGGAGCAAAACUUAUAAAACCUAUCUCAGUUCGGAUUGUAGGCUGCAACUCGCCUACAUGAAGCUGGAGUUGCUAGUAAUCGCGAAUCAGAAUGUCGCGGUGAAUACGUUCCC